This 85-nucleotide transfer RNA is filed under the name Candidatus Altarchaeales archaeon WOR_SM1_86-2. RNAcentral's name for it is "Candidatus Altiarchaeales archaeon WOR_SM1_86-2 tRNA-Leu". It matches the Rfam family "tRNA". Rfam says of the family: Transfer RNA (tRNA) molecules are approximately 80 nucleotides in length. Their secondary structure includes four short double-helical elements and three loops (D, anti-codon, and T loops). Further hydrogen bonds mediate the characteristic L-shaped molecular structure. tRNAs have two regions of fundamental functional importance: the anti-codon, which is responsible for specific mRNA codon recognition, and the 3' end, to which the tRNAs corresponding amino acid is attached (by aminoacyl-tRNA synthetases). tRNAs cope with the degeneracy of the genetic code in two manners: having more than one tRNA (with a specific anti-codon) for a particular amino acid; and 'wobble' base-pairing, i.e. permitting non-standard base-pairing at the 3rd anti-codon position. Lineage: Archaea; Nanobdellati; Candidatus Altarchaeota; Candidatus Altarchaeia; Candidatus Altarchaeales. The record is from RNAcentral. RNAcentral also lists the same sequence under 1 other name.
GCGGGGGUUCCCGAGUUGGCCAAAGGGGCAGGACUUAAGAUCCUGUGUGCGUAAGCCUUCAGGGGUUCGAAUCCCUUCCCCCGCA